This is a long non-coding RNA of Ooceraea biroi (clonal raider ant), 1263 nucleotides long. RefSeq lists it as uncharacterized. NCBI's taxonomy places the organism in Eukaryota, Metazoa, Arthropoda, Insecta, Hymenoptera, Formicidae. The record is from RefSeq and is a predicted model, not a curated record.
GAAAUCCGGACUGUUCCCAUGUUCCACUUAUAGCAUUUGGUCCAAUCGCACGCGUCUGACUUUAGACGACGUCUGAUAGCUCCAGAGUCAACAUUACGCUCGAUAACGAUCACGCGCAAACAUUUCUACAUUUAUACGCUGAAAGUUCUUUGAGGCUAAAUGUGCCUGCUUCUUCAGAUUUGUCAUCACUAAUCGCACCCGUCAAAGCUUUCUCGCGAUAUCCACGAGUGUAUUUGCGUCGUUCACUUGGACACUUCAAGUUGACGUUCAUCAAACGUUCCUGAAGAAACCCGCUGGUACCGCUAGACGUCUAUUAAGGCGCACAUUUGUUGCGAUAGACAUCUAACCAUUUCUAAAUAAAUCAGUCAUUUCGGAAAGGAUAUUUUUAUUAAUAUAUACUGUUAGGAAUAUGCUAUUCAUCAAAUUGUAACAUGUAAGUGCAACAUCUGUAAUAAUGACAAUUCGCGCGAUAUACACGUAUCUUCUAAGAUUCAAAAGGCUGAAGACGAGGAACGAUGUCGAAAGAAGAGCGAUUUCGGCAGAGGUGAUCAUUCGGCAGUUGACUUGGUUUAAGUAACGAAGACUAACUACCGAACGUUAAUAACCUUUCCAGGAGUAGAAGCUGCGAGAUGACUAGCUUGGUAUUCGGUUGCUAGUCGCAAGGAAGCAACGCCGCUAUGAAUCCGCAAGCUAGGGCAAGGAAGACAAGGAGGAGGCGGGAGGUAACUUAAUGACGCCGCAUCCGGGAGUCGCCAGGACAUUGUACUUCGCAAAAAAGGAUCUUAUAACGCGUCCACACAGCUGGACCCGCAUACUACGCUCCUCCACGUUCGAAUGGGAGACCCCGAUCCAUUAACGGGCCGGCGCGAACAUUAAUAAUCCGCGCCUUCUCGCCCGGAUUGCCGGUGCGGACGCGCGAGCUGCAAGGUGGCGGCAACCUUGCCCAGAUGGCGUCAAUAAAUCAGAUUCGGGAACGCCGUGCCAGAUUGGACUCGGUUUUUGUCGGAUUGCCGAGCAGCGGCUGUGAUGAUGUAAAAGGGCAUGGGUUGGAAGUUAUGGACGUUAUUGGAGAUGCGUAACGGACGUACGAAAAAUAAGCUGUAUUGCUGAUAUAUUAUUUGUAACUUCUUCAUGAAUGCAUUAAAUUAUUUUCUACAUAUAUAUAAUUGUCAAUAUCGUAUCAAAUAUCAAAAUGGUGUAUGCAUUGAACCAGCAAUUCUGUGAGAAUCGAAUAAAUGCUUGCAACUUCGUGUGAUUUAAAUC